This 492-nucleotide ribosomal RNA is filed under the name uncultured bacterium. RNAcentral's name for it is "partial 16S ribosomal RNA". It matches the Rfam family "Bacterial small subunit ribosomal RNA", at positions 29 to 507 of the family's 1533-position model. The record is from RNAcentral.
AGUGAACGCUGGCGGUAGGCCUAACACAUGCAAGUCGAACGGCAGCACAGUAAGAGCUUGCUCUUACGGGUAGCGAGUGGCGGACGGGCGAGGAAUACAUCGGAAUCUACUUUUUCGUGGGGGAUAACGUAGGGAAACUUACGCUAAUACCGCAUACGACCUACGGGUGAAAGCAGGGGAUCUUCGGACCUUGCGCGAUUGAAUGAGCCGAUGUCGGAUUAGCUAGUUGGCGGGGUAAAGGCCCACCAAGGCGACGAUCCGUAGCUGGUCUGAGAGGAUGAUCAGCCACACUGGAACUGAGACACGGUCCAGACUCCUACGGGAGGCAGCAGUGGGGAAUAUUGGACAAUGGGCGCAAGCCUGAUCCAGCCAUACCGCGUGGGUGAAGAAGGCCUUCGGGUUGUAAAGCCCUUUUGUUGGGAAAGAAAAGCAGCAGGUUAAUACCCCGCUGUUCUGACGGUACCCAAAGAAUAAGCACCGGCUAACUUCGUG